RNAcentral lists this ribosomal RNA (726 nucleotides) under Amynthas sp. HE201609-07. RNAcentral describes it as "partial small subunit ribosomal RNA". The record is from RNAcentral. Lineage: Eukaryota; Metazoa; Annelida; Clitellata; Crassiclitellata; Megascolecidae.
UAAAGGUUAGAUAAGUCGUAACAAAGUAGGUGUAAUGGAAAUUGCACCUGUCGGAGUAUAGCAUAUAAAAUGCUUUUUACUUACACUAAAAAUAAAGUUAAUAAACUUGCCCCGCCCACAUGAUACGACCCUAUAAACAAUAAAUAAUAGAAGCAACUAAACAUAUAAUACAUAAAAGUACAGAAAUGGAAAACCCAAUAAAUAAAAGUAAUUAUUAAAAAAUAUACCUUGUGCAUUAUGGUUUUACAAGAAAAUAAUUUAAAACCUAAAUCCCGAAUUCUAAAUGAGAUGUUAAACUGCUGUUAUGAACCCAUUAAUAACUGUGGAAAAAGUUUUAAAAGACAGUUUAACAGAGGCUACAUACCAUUCGCAUAAGAAUAUAGCUGGUUUUCAACAAACAUUAUACAUUAAAACAUAUAAUUAUAUUAUAGUGUAAAAUUACUGAGGAUAAGCCCAAUAAUUUAAUGCAAUAUGUUAAAAUAUCUAUUAACACCUAUAGGCCUAAAAUCAGCCAACUAAAAUACUUUACCGUAAUUAAAACAGAUAAAUAUACAUAAAUUAGUUAUGCUAAAAAAAGUUGAAGUAGUGGGUAAAUUAUAUGCCCCACUUACAUUAUGUAAAAAUAAGUAUUUAUAUAUUAUAAACAAUAUUAUACAAGAAAUAACACCAAAUAAAUAAUAAAAAUUAAUUAAGGAACUCGGCAAAUACUUAUUUCGACUGUUUAAC